GACAGAGGGUGCAAACGUUGUUCGGAAUCACUGGGCGUAAAGCGCACGUAGGCGGCUUGUUAAGUCAGGGGUGAAAUCCUGGAGCUCAACUCCAGAACUGCCUUUGAUACUGGCGAGCUUGAGUUCGGGAGAGGUGAGUGGAACUGCGAGUGUAGAGGUGAAAUUCGUAGAUAUUCGCAAGAACACCAGUGGCGAAGGCGGCUCACUGGCCCGAUACUGACGCUGAGGUGCGAAAGCGUGGGGAGCAAACAGG
RNAcentral lists this ribosomal RNA (253 nucleotides) under uncultured bacterium. RNAcentral describes it as "partial 16S ribosomal RNA". It matches the Rfam family "Bacterial small subunit ribosomal RNA", at positions 524 to 776 of the family's 1533-position model. The record is from RNAcentral.